CAUAGCGACUAUCGUGGCAUAUCAAUAAGCGGAGGAAAAGAAACUAACAAGGAUUCCCCUUAGUAACGGCGAGUGAAGCGGGAAGAGCUCAAAUUUGAAAUCUUCAAGGUUCUGACCUUGACGAAUUGUAGUUUAUAGAAGUGUUUUCGGUUAGUAGGAGUAGUCAAAAGUUCUUUGGAAUAGGACAUCAUAGAGGGUGAGAAUCCCGUAUUUGGUCAUUCCUUCCUAGCUUUGUGAUACACUUUCAACGAGUCGGAUUGUUUGGGAAUGCAGUCCAAAAUGGGUGGUAAAUUUCAUCUAAAGCUAAAUAUUGGCGAGAGACCGAUAGCGAACAAGUACCGUGAGGGAAAGAUGAAAAGAACUUUGAAAAGAGAGUUAAACAGUACGUGAAAUUGUCAAAAGGGAAGCGUUUGACACCAGUGUUGUUUUUCCGAAAAUCAAUUACGAAUGUUUUAUUUUUGAGGAGUUAUGACUUCAUCGGCUUGCUCUCUUCUUUACUGAAACUUUCUUAAUGCACUUUUCGGUUAACAAGUCAACAUCAAUUUCUUUUGUUGUAAAAGGGUAUGAGGAAGGUGGCUUUUCUUUUCGGAGAAAGUGUUUAUAGCCUUGUGCCUCUGCAAUCGGAGAGAUUGAGGUCUGCAGCGUAGAUCCUUCGGGGUUAGAUACAUUUGUGCUAAGUUAUAGCUUUUCAUAGACAACUUGUUGACUAUGAUUAAGUCAUUGUAGCUUACUCGCUUAUGCUAUUUUACCUACGCUUAGGAUGUUGAUAUGCAUGACUGAUAU
RNAcentral lists this ribosomal RNA (783 nucleotides) under uncultured Neocallimastigales. Its description in RNAcentral is "partial large subunit ribosomal RNA". It matches the Rfam family "Eukaryotic large subunit ribosomal RNA", at positions 22 to 640 of the family's 3401-position model. Lineage: Eukaryota; Fungi; Neocallimastigomycota; Neocallimastigomycetes; Neocallimastigales. The record is from RNAcentral.